CCCAACCUCCCUAUUCCUCUCGAUUCCUCCCACACCGGCCGCCGCCCCUCGUCAGACAUUGUGACUCCUUUGCGCGGCAGCGACCUACACGCUGGCGCGCCGCUCGUCACCACUCCCCUGCGACCCUCCAUCCCGGCGCGCAGUCCCUCGUCACCACUCCCCUGCGACCCUGGAUCCCGGCGCGCCGCUCGUCACCACUCCCCUGCGACCCUCCAUCCCGGCGCGCAGUCCCUCAUCACCACUCCCCUGCAACCCUGGAUCCCGGCGCACCGCCCCUCGUCACCGCUCCCCUGCGACCAACGGCGAAUCCAAGUUUCUAGCGAAAAUAUCUGAAGAUCCUUACUAGUUUCCAGUGACGUUCUAUCCUAUUAAGCAAGAGUCUUCAAGGUGGUAGUUCAGUUCAACACUGCUGAUCUCCGUGUCCGGCGCCCCAUGCUCCAACCUUGGACUUGUUCCUAGGGACAUGAAUGGACGUGCCCAGUUUUAGCAAAGUACGCGCACGAAUGCUGGUUCAUUCAUGCGCCUUCCUGCCUUUCUGAUGCCGUUUUCAUCCAAUAACAUUUUCGGCAGGGAUAUGAUUAUUAUGUAUGACUAUAUCAGCAGCAAGGUGUUUUUAGUACCAAAUGAUGAAUAUUUCAACCACUAUUUGGCGGUAAGUUAGAUGCUUUCCCUUACUUCCCAAAAAUAAUAUAGGUACUUCUGUUACAGUUGGGAGCUGAUGUAUUGUUAUCCCAGUAUGGUGGCCAAUACAAAUUAUAUUCUAUAUUCGUGUGCACACUGAGACCAAAUAAAUCAUAAUUGUAUUAUCUUUUUUUUGGCCUUUGUGGUAACAUGGUAUCUCGUUGUAUCUUGUUUAAAAAAUCAUGAGAAAUAUUUUAAUAUUACUAGUUUGCUUUUUCAACUAAAAAGGAUAUUGGUAUUGUCGUUAUCGUUAGUUCAGGACACGGUGCUUCCAUAGGUGUAUUUUUUCGGGUACUAUUACGCACUAAAAGUCGGGAACAAGUUCUAUUCUGCCUAUUAUAUUUAUGAAGUAUGGAUAGAACAGACGUUCUUGUUUUGCAAAUCCCAUACGGAAAGGGAAAGGACAAACUAGAUACAAGGAUACAGACGUUCUUGUUUUGCAAGUUCUAUUCUGCCUAUUUUUCAGUACUAUGAGCCUGUACUCAUGAAGUAUGCUGCAAGGAAAUACGCGCCUACAAGUUGCCCCUAUAAGAUUAAUAUACUGUUUUAGCUAUUCCACUAUAAAUUAGUUACUCUUUUAGCAAUUUCAAUAGAAAUUAUUUUGGUUUGCCCAAUAAGAUUUUCCUAGAACAGUAUGCACACUAUUGAUUUGCAACCAUCCUUUUCUGGGUCCAGAGUUGUUCGUCACCCACAAAAUAUUUACUCAUCAUUAUUUGUGCCAUUUGUAAAAUGGAUGUCACCAUGUAUCACAAAAAAAUAUGUUGUUCUAUUGUAUUUGCAGCACACAAAUUAUCACGAUUUGUUUUCAGUUUCAAAGAAAAUAAAUAUUUACUUGGGCUAACUAGCAUGUGUACCAGUUCAGGUAUGUGGCAUGCAAGCAGAGGAGAGGAUGAACUUGACAAUUACCAAUACUACUUCAUAUUUGAUUUGACAAGAUGCAAAAGAUAAAUGGAUGAUUAUAUGGGUGUGUGGCAAGUAUACUGCAAUGAUGAUAAUUUUGUUCCUGUUGUUGUUGUUGAUGAUGAUGAUGAUGAUGAUGAUGAUGAUGACGACGACGAUGAUGAUGGAUGCUUUCAGUUUUAGUUAAGUUGUAGGGAUGAUGUUCAUGUUGGAUGAUGUUCCUCGGUUAAGUUUUAGAUAAGUUGUAGGGAUGUGAUGGAUGCUUUCAGUCUAAGUUUGCUACCAAGAAAAUAUUUAGAUUAUACAUCACAUUAGAUGGUGUUCCUCCUAUAAUAUCCACUAUUGUAAUCCAACAAUUUUAUCAAAUAUAUGAUUUAUUCGUCUA
Triticum aestivum (bread wheat) is the source of this 1966-nucleotide long non-coding RNA. RefSeq lists it as uncharacterized. The record is from RefSeq and is a predicted model, not a curated record. The transcript has 5 exons. Lineage: Eukaryota; Viridiplantae; Streptophyta; Magnoliopsida; Poales; Poaceae.